AGGACGAACGCUGGACGGCAUGGCCUAACACAUGCAAGUCGAACGGGGGUAGCAAUACCCUAGUGGCGAACGGGUGAGUAACACAUAAGCAAUCUGCCCUUACACAGGGGGAUAACAGCGGGAAACUGCUGCUAAUACCGCAUAAGACCACGGUACCGCAUGGUACAGGGGUAAAAACGAAUCAGUGGUGAAGGAUGAGCUUAUGUCCCAUUAGCUAGUUGGUGAGAUAACAGCCCACCAAGGCGACGAUGGGUAGCCGACCUGAGAGGGUGAUCGGCCACACUGGAACUGAGACACGGUCCAGACUCCUACGGGAGGCAGCAGUGGGGAAUAUUGGGCAAUGGAGGAAAAACCUCUUACCCAGCAAUGCCGCGUGAGUGAAGAAGGUCUUCGGAUUGUAAAGCUCUUUGAUUGGGGACGAAGAAAGUGACGGUACCCAAAGAACAAGCCCCGGCUAACUACGUGCCAGCAGCCGC
Molecule: ribosomal RNA, 476 nt
Filed under: uncultured bacterium
Lineage: Bacteria
Description: bacterial SSU rRNA
Rfam family: Bacterial small subunit ribosomal RNA
Source: RNAcentral